This 499-nucleotide ribosomal RNA is filed under the name uncultured bacterium. Its description in RNAcentral is "partial 16S ribosomal RNA". It matches the Rfam family "Bacterial small subunit ribosomal RNA", at positions 28 to 523 of the family's 1533-position model. The record is from RNAcentral.
GACGAACGCUGGCGGCGUGCCUAACACAUGCAAGUCGAACGUGAAAGUCCUUCGGGAUGAGUAAAGUGGCGCACGGGUGAGUAAUACAUAGGAACGUACCUACGGGUGGGGAAUAACCACGGGAAACUGUGGCUAAUACCGCAUAACAUCGAGAGAUUAAAGGGGGCGUCCGCAAGGAGCUCUCGCCUGUAGAUCGGCCUAUGUCCCAUUAGCUAGUUGGAGAGGUAAAGGCUCACCAAGGCGACGAUGGGUAGCUGGUCUGAGAGGAUGAUCAGCCACACUGGAACUGAGACACGGUCCAGACUCCUACGGGAGGCAGCAGUGGGGAAUCUUGCACAAUGGGCGAAAGCCUGAUGCAGCAACGCCGCGUGGGUGAAGAAGGUCCUUGGAUUGUAAAGCCCUUUCGGCUAGAAAGAAGGGUUUCUAGGUUAAUACCCUAGGAAUUUGACGGUACUAGAAGAAGAAGCACCGGCUAACUCCGUGCCAGCAGCCGCGGUAA